RNAcentral lists this transfer RNA (74 nucleotides) under Phycisphaeraceae bacterium. RNAcentral describes it as "tRNA-Val". It matches the Rfam family "tRNA". From Rfam's summary of the family: Transfer RNA (tRNA) molecules are approximately 80 nucleotides in length. Their secondary structure includes four short double-helical elements and three loops (D, anti-codon, and T loops). Further hydrogen bonds mediate the characteristic L-shaped molecular structure. tRNAs have two regions of fundamental functional importance: the anti-codon, which is responsible for specific mRNA codon recognition, and the 3' end, to which the tRNAs corresponding amino acid is attached (by aminoacyl-tRNA synthetases). tRNAs cope with the degeneracy of the genetic code in two manners: having more than one tRNA (with a specific anti-codon) for a particular amino acid; and 'wobble' base-pairing, i.e. permitting non-standard base-pairing at the 3rd anti-codon position. The record is from RNAcentral. Lineage: Bacteria; Pseudomonadati; Planctomycetota; Phycisphaerae; Phycisphaerales; Phycisphaeraceae.
GGUCCGUUAGCUCAGUUGGCUAGAGCGGCCGCCUUACACGCGGCAGGUCACUGGUUCGAGCCCAGUACGGACCA